GGGGUGAUAGCUCAGAGGUAGAGCGCUCGCCUAGCACGUGUGAGACAAUGGGUUCGAUCCUCAGCACUACA
RNAcentral lists this transfer RNA (71 nucleotides) under Marmota monax (woodchuck). RNAcentral's name for it is "tRNA.Ala". The record is from RNAcentral. Lineage: Eukaryota; Metazoa; Chordata; Mammalia; Rodentia; Sciuridae.